GACGAACGCUGGCGGCGUGCCUAAUACAUGCAAGUCGAGCGAAUGGAUUAAGAGCUUGCUCUUAUGAAGUUAGCGGCGGACGGGUGAGUAACACGUGGGUAACCUGCCCAUAAGACUGGGAUAACUCCGGGAAACCGGGGCUAAUACCGGAUAAUAUUUUGAACUGCAUGGUUCAAAAUUGAAAGGCGGCUUCGGCUGUCACUUAUGGAUGGACCCGCGUCGCAUUAGCUAGUUGGUGAGGUAACGGCUCACCAAGGCAACGAUGCGUAGCCGACCUGAGAGGGUGAUCGGCCACACUGGGACUGAGACACGGCCCAGACGCCUACGGGAGGCAGCAGUAGGGAAUCUUCCGCAAUGGACGAAAGUCUGACGGAGCAACGCCGCGUGAGUGAUGAAGGCUUUCGGGUCGUAAAACUCUGUUGUUAGGGAAGAACAAGUGCUAGUUGAAUAAGCUGGCACCUUGACGGUACCUAACCAGAAAGCCACGGCUAACUACGUGCCAGCAGCCGCCGUAA
This 515-nucleotide ribosomal RNA is filed under the name uncultured bacterium. RNAcentral's name for it is "partial 16S ribosomal RNA". It matches the Rfam family "Bacterial small subunit ribosomal RNA", at positions 28 to 523 of the family's 1533-position model. The record is from RNAcentral.